CUACGGGAGGCAGCAGUGGGGAAUAUUGGACAAUGGGGGAAACCCUGAUCCAGCAAUGCCGCGUGUGUGAAGAAGGCCUGCGGGUUGUAAAGCACUUUCGGUUGGGAGGACUGCUUCUAGCACUAAUAUUGUUGGAAGUUGACGUUACCUUCAGACGAAGCACCGGCUAACUCCGUGCCAGUAGCCGCGGUAAUACGGAGGGUGCAAGCGUUAAUCGGAAUUACUGGGCGUAAAGCGCGCGUAGGCGGCUAGAUCAGUCGGGUGUGAAAGCCCCGGGCUUAACCUGGGAACUGCAUCCGAUACUGUCUAGCUUGAGUACAGGAGAGGAGAGUGGAAUUCCACAUGUAGCGGUGAAAUGCGUAGAUAUGUGGAGGAACACCAAUGGCGAAGGCAGCUCUCUGGCCUGAUACUGACGCUGAGGUGCGAAAGCGUAGGGAGCAAACAGGAUUAGAUACCCGUGUAGUC
RNAcentral lists this ribosomal RNA (465 nucleotides) under uncultured bacterium. RNAcentral describes it as "partial 16S ribosomal RNA". It matches the Rfam family "Bacterial small subunit ribosomal RNA", at positions 339 to 795 of the family's 1533-position model. The record is from RNAcentral.